CAGGUGACAAGCUGAUUAAGUGAUUUAGUCGGGGAUUUGUCGAGUAGUUGCUGCAGCCAUUUUGAGGAACCAUUCAGGAAGAGGAAGAAGAGGGGCUAGAAAUACGUCCAAUGCUCGAGGUAAUAGGAACGGGGAAGUUCCAAAUUUUGCGGAUAUGAUGAGGAUGAUGACUGAGACUAUAACGACGGCGAUGAUAAAUCAGACUGACGCCAUCACUGCUGUCUUUCUGAACCAGAAUGAGAAUCACAAUGCGCCACCGCCGCCUCCGCCAGGUGGGAAUGAAAAUAACCAUCAAGGUGGUGGGGCCCAUGCUGAGUGGCUGAAUUUAUUGGAGAAAUUUAUUAAGUUGAAACUGUUAGACUUUUUGUGUUUUGCGCAACAAAUCCCAUAUGGGUAAAGUAAUGUUUGUUUAGAUUAAGUUAAGUCGGAUUAGUCUUAAUCCACAUUAAGGCAUGUUUAUGGUUUUAAUCAUGCACUAAAGACUAGCUUAAGGUUAAUGCUAGAUAAGGUUGAGUCAAAGCAUGACAUGUCCUUUAGCUUGACAUGUCAUAUGUGUUGUCCAAUGUAUCCAUGAGGUGUCCUCCAACUCAUGAUGGAAAGGUUAGAGUGACAUGUGGCAAGCAUGACUAGGACUCACUUCUAGCCUCAUAAGUUUUAUAAAGGAAAAUCUGUUUUCAUCCAUCAUUAAGUAAUGUGAGGAAAUAGAAGUUGAUAAUAAGUCAUGAA
Long non-coding RNA from Papaver somniferum (opium poppy), 726 nucleotides. RefSeq lists it as uncharacterized. The record is from RefSeq and is a predicted model, not a curated record. The transcript has 2 exons. NCBI's taxonomy places the organism in Eukaryota, Viridiplantae, Streptophyta, Magnoliopsida, Ranunculales, Papaveraceae.